GCGGCUUGCACUUGCAGUCUCCCGCUUAACCUCACUGUUCAAAGACAAACAGCCGGUGAGCAAAGGAGCAGAGCUCUCACACUAAGCAGAGUCUGUCUUCCUGUCUGUAUCCGGAGAAGGUCCCGGCCAGCCGCCAGACCGUGUGUGAUAUUUUGUGUUUGAGUGUGAGGUGAGAGCAGGUCGCGACUCCUUUAAGAAGUCUACUCAUCUGACCAUUUGCCCCUGUGACGCGUUCCUCGGUUCUCGUCGGCGGGGCGUCUCGCGGAUAUGCUGCACCCUUUAAACCCACUGAAGGAGCGCGAGCGCAACCUAUGCUGGACUGAACCGUAAUCCACCUGGGUGACGGUGAAGUUCGGUGUGUCAUUCCCAUGGAAUCUACUCCCGGUCGUUUCCUCCAUCUACCGAGAGCAGAAAAACGGCGAGCAGCCGAGCGAGCGAAUCACGUCUCGCGCCUCUUUCUCCAGACCAACUAAUCACGUCGUGCAGUAUGAUGGUUGUAGUAUAAACGGGACAGCCACACACAUCGUUACACAUUGUGACACACGCACACACACGCACACACACACACACACGGGUGCACACACACACACACACACACACACACCUGCAAGGCCUUCUCAUGUGGUGAGAUGACAGCAGCAGAGCAGUUAGAUAUGGAGGUCAUGACUCCUCUAAUGGAGGCAGCCCAAGAGGACAACUCUGAAGAGGAGGCGGAGCCCAACACUGUGCAGGCCAAUGAGGAGCAGCGGA
Alosa alosa (allis shad) is the source of this 750-nucleotide long non-coding RNA. RefSeq lists it as uncharacterized. The transcript is spliced from 3 exons. The record is from RefSeq and is a predicted model, not a curated record. Lineage: Eukaryota; Metazoa; Chordata; Actinopteri; Clupeiformes; Clupeidae.